ACUAUAACUUAUGAUGGGCCUUUGAAAACACUAUGAGAAGCCCAUCAUAAUUUAGAUUUCUUCUUCUUCUCGCAAGACAGUCGACGAUUUUUUUUCCAGAACUAAAGCGACGAUACGAUCUCUCCCGUGAUGUCUCAACCUCCCAUUAAUUCGUUUUUAACUCCGUUUUUUGUGUGAUUAGCAAUAAAAAGCAUUCAAUCAACCCUUGCAUCUCACAUUAACCGACGGAGACUCCGGCUAUAAAUCUCUGAAUUCCCAGCGAUUGAACAACACAACUUCUCCCAAAUCAAGAAGAAUAGUCUCUGCUAUUACAAACUCCUACAAUGGCGAAUUCCUUCAUCCUUAUUUCAGAUCUGAAAGCUGGCUGCUCUAACACGGCAGAUAUCCGUUUGCUGAGGUUCUGGGAGAAUGUCAAGAAAGGUGGAGAGUGUGGACAUGCUCCUCCUCGAUGAGAAGUCUACGCUUAUCAAGGAACCAUCAGGGCCAACCACCUCACCACGUUUCGACAUCGUUUCAGUGACCAUGACGAGGAAGUCUUCAGUUUCCACAGUGACAUGUGACAAGAGGUUUCGCUAUGACCCAGGGAGAAUUCAGUCAAGAAGAGAAAGCAACUAUAGACACCAUUGUUAACCAGAGUCAGUGUUGUAGAUAGGCCAUUGGCAGACAUAAGGAAGUUCAAUGACAUGAUCCCAAAGCCUGAAUUCAAUAACUUUCAGAGAUCAUGAAGAGAGAUUCAUCAGAGUUAGCCAAAGAAACUGCAUUUGCACUUGCUGCUCUAAACUUCAAGUUUUGUGAUUCUCCUGUCGCUAUUAGUUUCACUGAGCAAACAUGAGGGACACAUUCUCUCUGAAGCCAAACUUCAUGGCCACCUCUCACCAGACGCCGAAGACAGAAAAAAGAUCCCACGACCAUCGUUUGUGUUUGUUUUUUCUAGCUUUGAAAAUCUAAUUCAAUGUGUUUGGAUAGUUAUCUUUUGCAUCAAAUACUGGUUCUUUUCUAUAGGUUUGCAUAUCAAUUAAGAGUUAUUUGUAAUCUUUUGUAAAAGCCUAACGUUUUCAACUUUUUUCUUGCUAAGCUUUUAUGGUGUACUUAGUUUUUGAAAAAAAGCUUUUAAUUUAACUCGCUGGUCCUGUAACAUAUGAGUAUCUUGCAUCAUUCUGGCUUGUGAGUUGUGACUAAAUAUUAUUACUUUCGAAUCGUUGGCACAAAGAUGUUGUACUAGAAAAUUAAUAAGCUUUUGGUCUCA
Long non-coding RNA from Brassica napus (rape), 1246 nucleotides. RefSeq lists it as uncharacterized. The record is from RefSeq and is a predicted model, not a curated record. Lineage: Eukaryota; Viridiplantae; Streptophyta; Magnoliopsida; Brassicales; Brassicaceae. The transcript is spliced from 6 exons.